Molecule: long non-coding RNA, 31031 nt
Filed under: Vigna radiata
Lineage: Eukaryota; Viridiplantae; Streptophyta; Magnoliopsida; Fabales; Fabaceae
Description: long non-coding RNA (VRAD_LNC009305)
Source: RNAcentral
GGUUACCAUAGAACUAUCCUAGUUGACCACCGUCUAAGAGUGGUAAGGAGGGGGAGGCGAUGCGUAGAUGUAGUGCGGGGGUGGUGGAGGAGGGGACUUGUACUUGUAGGGCUUCUUGUAAGGGGGUGGUGGCGGAGAGUGAUAGAUUGGGUGGGGAAUGUAAGGAGGAUGAGGGUGAGGAAGAGGGUGCGGGUGGGGCAAAGGAUGGGGGUGAGGAAGAGGGUGUGGGUGUGGGUGGGGAAGAGGGUGGGGGUGUGGGUGUGGAAGAGGGUGUGGGUGGGGGUAUGGGUGGACAGGAGGUGGAGGCGACAGGUACUUGUAAGGCUUCUUAGGGGGUGGAGGAGGAGAGGGGUACACGUAGGGAGGGUGUGGGUGUGGAUGGGGGUGGGGCUGAGGGUGUGGGUGUGGGUGUGGAUGCGGGUGAGGGUAAGGGUGGACUGGUGGUGGUGGAGAUGGGUACUUGUAGGGAGGGUGAGGGUGAGGGUGAGGGUGGGGGUGUGGGUGGGGAUGGGGGUGAGGAUGGGGAUAAGGGUGCACUGGAGGUGGGGGAGAUGGGUAUUUGUAGGGCUUCUUGGGAGGAGGAGGUGGUGAGUGGUAGUAGUAAGGCUUCUUCGGAGGAGGUGGCGGUGGAGAGUGGUAGUAGUAUGGUUUCUUCUUCGGUGGAGGUGGGGGUGGUGAGUGGUAGUAAUAUGGUUUGGGUGGAGGUGGUGAAGGUGGCGGGGGAGAAUGGUAGUAGUAAGGCUUAGGUGGAGGUGGUGAGGGUGGUGGGGGAGAAUGGUAGUAGUACGGCUUAGGUGGAGGAGGUGAAGGUGGUGGGGGAGAGUGAUAGUAGUAUGGCUUCUUCUUGGGUGGGGGUGGUGGUGGUGAGUGAUAGUAGUACGGCUUAGGUGGAGGUGGUGAAGGAGGUGGUGGUGAGUGAUAAUAGUAUGGCUUAGGUGGAGGUGGUGAAGGAGGUGGUGGUGAGUGAUAGUAGUAUGGCUUAGGUGGAGGUGGUGAAGGUGGUGGUGGAGAGUGGUAGUAGUAUGGCUUCUUUUUGGGUGGUGGUGGUGGUGGUGAGUGGUAGUAGUAUGGCUUAGGUGGAGGUGGGGAAGGUGGUGGAGGAGAAUGGUAGUAAUAUGGCUUGGGUGGAGGAGGUGAAGGUGGUGGUGGAGAGUGGUAGUAGUAUGGUUUUUUUGGUGGAGGUGGUGAAGGAGGAGGAGGAGAGUGAUAAUAAUAGGGUUUCUUAGGUGGUGGAGGUGAUGAGUACAAGUAGUUAUCAGCUGAGAUUUGAGAAGGGAAGGUUAAAGACAGUAAUGAGAAUAGCAGAGUAAGUGUGGCGGAGGAGGCCAUUAGAGACCCCAUUGUUUUUCCCCUCAACCUCACUACAACGUGGGGUUUUGUUAUGCUUUUUCUCAACCAAAGAGCCACCCUUUAUAUAGAAUCUUUCUUUACCCCAACUAAUCUUUUUGGUAAAUUUCUUCUCAUGCAUGCGCAUUCCAAUCAUCUCUUCUCCUUUCUAAUAAAACAUAUAAAUUCCCAUAUAUAUUGACGUUGGCAAACAGAAAAAAGGCUUAAAUUAUGAAAAUGAUAUUUGUCCUUUUUGGGCAGUAAAUAUAAAUAGAUGAAGGGGAAUGUAAAAUGAUUUUGAAAUACUGAAACAUUAACUGGUUGGUUGUUUGAAAAGUAAAUGGAUGGCAUUGGAGACUUAAAAAAGUGUGGGACUGUAUGGUCCGUAGCAGCCUCAAUGAUUUUGAAGGAGUGUCUCUCUUUUUCUCUCUCUAAUCAAUUCAUAGAGGCUGCUUCUGUACACACUUUAGAGUGUGCACCACACCACGGCUUGCACAUGUUGCAUGCCAUUCUACAGUUCCUUUUUCGAUAAUACAAAAUUCCUUUUACUUUUUCCAUCUUUUAUUUCUUACCCUACUCUGCCCAUUUAAAUGCCACCCAAAUUCAUGUCUCCAUCUCUUUAAUUGCUAAUUUUACUUUUCUUCUCAAUUUUUUAAACAAACAACUGUGAUUUAUAAUUAACUUUUUGGUUGAAAAAAAGUGUAAAGGUCCCAACAAAGGUGGCUUCUUCUCCUUAAUGGGAUACUCUGACGUUAAUUGAGUUAAUGAAAACAUUAAUAGUGAAUGGUUGGUGUAACCCAAAUUACGUACAACGUUGGUUAUGAAUAAAGGUUCAUUCGGUGUAAUAUUGUAAGUAGUUUUAGUAUGACUAUAUAGUUAAAAUAAAAAUUUAAUCGAAGCUAAAAUGGAAAACACUCAUUCCCAUUUGUAUCUAAAUUUAGUUAUGAAUGAGUUAAACAUUGUUUAAUCUGGCCAAGAGAUUUUUUGGUUAACGGAAUUUAAAUAAAUUAUCGAAAAUGGGAAGAGUUAAACAAAGGGAAAGGAAGAAAAGUAGAGAUAGUAUAACCUACAAAUUUCAUGCUCUUAUUUUAGUAACUUUCUAUACAAGUUACCAUUUGUCACAUGUUCGAAAGGGUUGGUAAGUUUCUAACUUGUGUUUCAACGUCUCCUAAAAUAGUAAGAUCCAUUCAUAGCUACAUAGAUAGGUAUCUUAUACCUAAGUAUCAUUACAUCACUACUUAUGUAUGCAUAACCUAAAAUAUAAAAGAGACAGAUAUUGGUACACUAUAUUUUUAAAAUUAUUAUUGACUAAAGAUUUAGCAGUACAUAUAUAAAAGCAACCGCAGACAGAAGAGAAACUAGACAAGUUUUAUUCAUAAGAGUUAAAGAAUUUAUAAUUCACCGUCACUGUGUAUUAUCAUAUGAAAUCGAUUAAUAAAUAAAAUAAGAAAAGCAUAAUAAUAUGUAUGAUAGAAAAGGAAGGGUGAAGAAAAUAUUUAGCUAUCAGAUCCAGACUGGCCAUGUAUAUUUGACCAUUCAUGAUCUCAUAGAUGUCACAUUCCCAUUGACUGAAUGUAUUUUUCCAUAUGUAUGAAUGCGACAUGCACAGAUAGCACUGUGUCUCAGCAACAUCUCAUUGAUAUUUAACUUGUAAUAUAUUUCACACACAUUGUUUUUCUUUGUGACAAUGAGCAACAGUUUAAAGUUAUAGUAAGUUUGAUUUCGUGCAAUUUUUAGUGCAAAAAAUAUCAGAGAUAGUAGAACAAGAAAACAGGCAAACACCAGCUACUUCACUACUGUCUUGCGGUAAAAUUCCUUUACUUGAUCAUCAAGUGAAAGUGACUGCACAACGCAUAUUUUUUAAAUUAUUUUCAUUUUGAAACGAGAUUCUUCGUGUGAAAAGACAAAAUGAGAAUCUACUAUACAUGUUUAUUUUAAUACGUGCGAAAAAAAAAAUUAUUUCAAACAAUUAAAUACAUUAGGGGAUAGUGAUUUCUUAUCAAUUCAAGUAAUUCUUUUUUCUAAUAGCUCCAAACACAGUUUUAAAAUGUAAAACAUAAUUUAAAAAGAUUCCAGAGAAGAUUUUUUUUAUCAGCUAAAAAACAUAUAUAGUUAAGCAGAACUAUUUACUAAAGAAUUUUGGUUGAAAAUUUCACUGAACAAUGUACUAAGCAGAAGUAAUUAACAAUUAAAACGUGUUGUUAAAAUUAAAAUACAAAAGAAUUAUUAUUAUUUUUUUGGUAUCCUACGUAGCAAAGCCUGAAAGGAUUAGAGAGAUCUACCUAGUUUGGUAAAAGUUUGAAGGAUAUGUACAUGAAAUGAUGAUUGGGUGAUUUGGGGGAGGACUUUAGAGAGUGUAUUCAAGAAAGUUGGUCCAUUAUAGUCUAUAGUGGCAACAUGCAUGCAUAUACAUGAUGAAGAUGAAAAAGUAUAAAUAAUAUUUAUAGGGUAAAUGAUUGAUUAUUUUAAUAAUAAUAAGUAAUGGAAAAAUAGAAUAAAAAAAUUGGUAGGGUUGGGGAAACUUGAUUGGGGGUGUCUGGGAAGAUGGAAGUAUAGUCCAGUUUGAAUAACCUUUUUACAGCUAAAUUGUAACGUGUGGACACCAUGCAUGCAGCUCAAAUUCUGAUACAAUCAUAAAAAAAUAUUACAUCACAUGCUCACUUCAAAGGUAAACCCCUUUUUAUAUUUAACAAAUUCAAUUUAUCAUUUCACUAAACAAUUAUUCCCAACUUGUAAUCAAAAUUAAAUCCGAAUCUUCAAGUCUAUGUAUAUUUAAAUUUUUAUUUUUAUCGUGUUAACAAUAAAAGGAUUAUUUUUACAAGUAGAUUUCAUGUAUAUUUGCGAAUAUUCUGAAUAAUAAUGCGCAAGAACUUGUUAUUAAUUUAUGGAUUAUAUAUGUAUGGCAUGUGGGUUCAUAUAGACAGCCAAUAUUUACUUUAUAUAUCACAAACUUUAUACAUUAUGAGAUAAGACAUAUUUGUCCCUGUAUUAUGUACUAUUUUAAUAUUUUAAACUAAUGGUUUAGAAUUUGAAAAACCAAAAGUGUUCCUUGUAAUUUUGUACUCUUUAAUUAGGUGGACAGCAUUUCAUUAAUCACCUUUUGCAUGCAAUUUUUUCCUUUAUUUACAUCAUGGGUAGACAAUCAGGUUUUAGUAAAUAAUUCUACAAUCUUUAAAGAAAUAGAAAAAAAAAUAUAUUUACAUUUUAAAUUCUAAAACUAUAAGUAAAAAUGUAAUGCGACAUAAAUACUAGGGUUUUGUAAUUACAUAAAGAAUUUCAGUUUGUCUUCAUUUAGAUUCCACUCCUCUCUUUUAAUUAUGUCUAUUUUUAAAAAUAAAAGACUGGUAUGAUAUUAAUUUAAAAUUUAGAUUUCAAACAACGUAAAAUGAAAUAUUUCAAGCACAAUUUUUUACAUAUACUUUUUACAAAUAAAUACAUCUAUCCUGAGUUAGAAAUGUUGUUAAACUUUCUUACUCAAGCAUUACAAUUAAUCUUUCUUACUCAAGCAUUGCAAUUACUAACCCCAACAGGAAAUGUCAAAUUUAAUAUAUAUAAAAGCUAAUGAGAUGUAUAUUAAUGAUUAAAGCAAGAGAUUUUGAUUUGCCAUGAUAUCUAAAAGAAAAAAAAAAAGACUAGGAUGAAAGUAUGAGCAUUCAAAGUACUAAAAUAAUAUUAAACAAUGUGAACAAAACAAAUAUGCAUUAUUAUAUCACUAUUUAGCACUUGACUAAAAUAAUACAUUAUAAAUGGAGUGUGACAAAUUUUGAUGCAUUCAUUGAACACCGUUGGAUGAGAGCUGCCUCAUUAAAUUAAUUGUGGCUAUUGGAUUAAUUUAAGGAUGCAAAGAGUGAGUUGAAAAAUCAAACACACUAGAUCAAAGUGCACCAAAUUAAAAUCCUUAUUUAACUGUAUUCAUGUGGAAGCAAGAAAAAAAUAAACAAUUCAAUAGACAAAAAGAUAAUGUGUUGCCUUCAACUUUUUUAAGAAAAACGAAAUGACAAUAAUAUCAUCUUUUUUAAGUUACCGACACAAAAAGAUUACCAUGAGAUGGAGUUCACAUCUUGAACAUGGACCAUCAGGAUCAUGGUGAUGGAGUGGAUCAGACGGCUAGUGUUUCACAUGUAGAGAGAUCAAAAUGUCCAUUAUUCACUGCAAGAUAGGUACAUAAUCGUGUAUAUAAAAAUCCAUAAACAAAAGUCAAAGUAGGUUCACAUCAUGGUGUUGUUAUUCUGGUCCCUAGUGUAUGGUAUCUUCCUAGCUUCUCUACUUUGAAGAGUCACCACACUUCAAAACAAAACAAAACCCAAAACUAUUGAUAGAAAAAUCAAAGGUGACAGAUAUUAUUAACAAGCUGUAUUACACUUAAGUUAAUUAGUAAGUCUCUUAAUUAAUUAAAUUGUUAGAUAUUCAAGACCAUUAAAAAAAAUAAUAAAGAUAUCAUUAUCUUGUUGGAAUAAUUCUCAUUCUGUAAAUCCCCUUAUACGUGAUGAAGCCAUGAAGGCAUGACAUUGGUGAUGUGGACCACAUUUUCAGUAUAAGAAUUAAAUCUCUUUCUGAUUUUCCUCAUUGUAAAGAAUCCAAAGACCUUUGUCAUAAGAUUCCACUGCUUUGUUAGCUUUGACAACUACAAUUUCAAUGCAUGGCUACUUUUGUACAACUUUCUUCAAUUCAUCCUUAAUCUCCGUAACUACUUAAUUUUGCAAAUAAACCUUACUAAGUACAUUAUAUUAAUACUAAACCAUGCCAUAUGAGUGCAUUACAUUAAUUAAUACCAAGUCAUUGACAGAUCAACAAUAACUGCCACAAAAGCCUAGUCACCAGACGUGUAGUUUUGCAUAUAUGAAGUUAAUGAAAGAUAUGUAUAAUUACAAAGGAAAAAGUCUUUUUAACAACUCUUUUUUAACAACUUUUACGUGGCAGUCUAUGAUUGGUCCGUUUCAAAUAUUUUUUUAAACAUAAAUUUAAACAUACCAAUAAAAUGAUGACACGUGUCCUGUUAUCAAAAAAUUGUUAAAAAAGAGUUGUCAAAAUAUCAUUGUCCAGUUGCUAAAGUAAAGGAAACAAAAGUAAUGGAGCUUUGGGUGCAAUCAUGUGCAUGUUGUAUACUUAAGCAUCUUACCUUGUUAUCAUUACUCUGACCCAAAAUCAAUCAAUUUGCUUUCUAUAAAAAACAAGCAUCUUACCUUUUAAUGAAAUAUUAAAUACCCAUGAUAUUAAAAGCAUGUAAAUAAUUUGUAACACUUUCAAAGGUUCAAACAUUGAACUUUUAGGACAUCCUAUUUGAGGUUCUAACAUUGUUUUCUUAUGUGUGAGAUCCAUUGCAUUGUAUUGUCAUCUCUAUAUUUCAAAAGCCUGACAAUUUUUACUGUUUAUAUCAGUUCCAUGAAAAACAGUGAUUAUGUUCAUUCAGAAUUGCAUUUAAUUGGGAAGAUAAGAAAGAGUGGUAGAAGAAGUGAAGAAGACCCCACUGUAAUUGCCUCAGGCAAAGCAGAGAGAUUGAUCAGGAAUGAUGAUUUUUCUUUGUUUUUUUAUUGAUUACUUGCAGAGAGAGAGCGCCUAACAUUAUACUUAUUCUAGAGAAAUGAAGAAGAAAAGUCAGCUACCUACUACACAAAUGAUGCCAAAGAAUGAUAGAGAUUGAGUGAACCAACACUACCUACUUUUAUUAACUAUAAAAAUCAAAACUUUUAAUUAGUUCUUUUCAGUACCACUACUAUUAUUUUCUCUUUAAUUAACAAAUUAUUCAAGCUGCACAAAAUACUCUAAAAUCUAACCAAAAGUUUUAUGAUGUUUAAAAAUAACUCAGAAACUAAAGUAAAAUAUAAUUUAUGAAGUAAAUUUGGCAUGCUUUAAAUAGUAAACUAGCUUCAUAUUGGAACACAUCAUUCAAUCAAAUUUCAACUUUCAAAAGCUGAUGGUUUAUCGGGUAACUUUGCGUGAAACUUGUUAAGAAAACAAAAACAAUGACAGCAAAAUGACGUGAAUAACCUGUUUAUUUUCUGACAGGAGCAGUAAUUGCUUUUACUUUUAAAAUAUUCAUUUUUUUAACUUUUCUUAUAUGUACGUAGAUGAAAGGAAAGAGGUGGACCCCACCUGCCGACACAUACAAUACUGUUUAAGGGAAUGAAGACUUAUAGGUCAAAGUGAAGUUACCUAAACAGAUUAAAGUUUUUGGUAAAUUAGAUCAUUUUUACUUUAUAUUUAUAUAAUUUAUUUAGAAUUUUCAUAUUAUUUAUAUUUUCAUAAAGUCAAGUAAAUGAUCAAAUUUACUUUGUGAAGUUAACUUUUCAAAAUUAUUCUUGUUUGUUUAGUCUUCUUGAACUCUUUACUUCUGUCAUUAAUAAUGUGAUGUUUUAUUAUCUUGAAGAUAUAUUUUCAUUUACACUAUUAUUAAGAACAAGAAAAAAAAUUCUUGUGAUUUGUAUCUAUUUGACGUAUCAGACCAGAGAGAUCAACCUAAAAGAAUUUAUUAAGAAAAAAUUAUAAUUUAGUCAAUUUUAAUUUAUACUUGUACCAAAAGAGGCAUGUGAACCUCAUGCCUACUAGUAUUAGCUAUGUUUGGAUGUAACUGUUAUUAUAUAAUUCCUCCUUAAUCAUUUUGGAAUAACUUGAUUAGUUAUAUUUUUCUAGUUGAGAAUUUCUCAACAUAUUGCAAUUACCUAGGGUUAAUUAAUUAUUAUAAUUAUGGAUUGAUAUAGAACCAAUAACGGUAAUGAUAUGAAUAAGAAAGGGUCAUUGGGUCCUAGUUAGAGGCAACCAGACCCAUCAGACUAAGGGUACAUGAUUUUGGAAGGGAUUUUUAUAAAGUCAGAUUCUUCAAUUGCUAAUUUUUCACCCUCUCUCUAAAAACCCUUAUCCUAAAUAUUGCUCUGUCUUAUCUCUAAAAUACCACUCUGUUGAAUCGUCCAAUCUUUGGUAAAGAAGGUACAUAAACACUCCUAAUGUAGAGGGUUUCAUUCUGAACCGAUUACUUUCUCCGUCUCCUUCCGGUAAAUGGUUCUCCUGUUUCUUCCGUUAUUUUCGAAACCUAGGGCUUGGGUUUUACUGAUCUCAUGCAGUUAGAACCUUCCCUUCUUUGAUUUCUAUUAUAUUCUAGCUUUAAGAGUUGUUUUCCAUCGUCUCUUUGAGAGCCUUUCUUUGUUGGUAGGAUAGAGAAACCUUAAAAACCUGAGUUGGCACAUCCCUGAUCAUAGAGCAGCCCUGGCCUGAUCCAGUUAGUUGUGACUAGUCAUAUGUGCUGGCACCAAAGGUGAGUCUGAUGCGUUCAGAAAUCUAGGUCCUCUCCGGUGACCAAUUGGGGUAUAAGGAGGGUUGGGGGAAGGUAAGAUCUCCACUCUAAUAACAAUUAGAUAAACAGUUUAAUAAUUGGGAAACAUUUUAGGUUGGUUAAGGGGAAGUAAGGAGAGCUAACUCUAUUUUGUUUUGUUUGGUGUGUUUGAUGUGUGAUUUACUAACUAAACCGAGCUGAAUAAUGUUUAAAAAUCAUAAUUUACAGUAUUCAUAAUUUAUGUACAUUUGCUAUUAGAUAUGAAAGAAAAAUUGGUUCCAAAAGAAAUGCCUUUUUCUUUCUUUAGAAACAUUUGUAUAUGAUUGUAUCUAUAUUCUAUUGUUACAAACGUUUCUUUUUAUUUACAAAUUUAGACAAUCACAACUAAAUUUUAAAAUUGUCCUGAAGAGUCUCAAUAGUUCUUCCUUAAUUUUUGCCAUGUCUUUAAAUGUAUGUUAUUAUAAAUUUAAAUUAUGUUAAUGUUUUAUAUGCAUAUUAUAUUUUGAAUUUCAUAUUUAUUAGGACAUUUCAGAUUUAAUAAUAAUAAUAAUAUAUUUUGGAAUAAGUGAUAAUAAAUUGAAUAAUUAUAUUGGUAAUGAGUAUUGUGUUAUAAGUCUUGUGUUGGAUAAGUAAUACAUCUUGUGGAGAUUAUGUAUAUGUUGAUUGUGGCAAAAAUAUAUGAUUACAAAGUGUAAAAGUACGAUUAAAGUGGUAAACCAAGUUUCAUCUAUGUAGAAUCUCUUGGUGAGAUUCUUAGUGUUUUAGAAUGAAAGUAGGAGUUCAGUCUUGUGGGUCUUCUUGACGCUCCAAUGGCCUUUCUUCUCAUGUAGAGAGGAUUAGACUGUGUGGUGAGGAGUAGCAGGAGGUCUUAGUCUUGGAGGCUUCCAUCAUGCUCCAGAGCGCGGAACAGUCUAACCUCGUGAGUGUGGCAGGGCGGGAGAGCCCAAGGCGGUAGAGCCUAAGUAUCACAAGCCACCACGGGUGCAUGACCCACCAUAGCUCGACUAUCAUUCUAAAGUCCGGACGAGUCAAGUCUAGUAUUUAACAUGAUAGGAUGAAUGUUUUAUCUUGUUUGCUUUAAAUCAAUAUCUUGUAUGUACAUACUCUUAAUUGUAUGCUUUUUAUAUAAUUAGCUCACCCUUGCAAUUGCUUGUGUUUGUGCCAUGUUUGCGUUUGUUUCCCUUGCGAUAAUCAUCCACUUGUAUGGGAGCAGAUGGCGAGGAGAUACUUUGGAAACAACUCUUGAUGGAAAGGAAAUGUUGCUGCCUAGUUCUCUAGGUUUUAAUUAGAAAUUUUGUCAUGUUCUAAGUUUUAAAUUCUCUGUAUUUUAAGGGAGAAACUCUAGUAUUCCAAGUUUAUGUAUUAUAUUGUUUAAGGAUGACUGUAAUCUUAUUACUCUUAACUGCUUUCUAGUAUUAUUCAUGGUGACUCCUUUAUUAUAUUAUAUAUCUUUAUAAUAUAUAUAAUUGGGAUGUCACAAUAACUAUAUUUUGUUAAAAUUAAAUAAUAAUAAUAAACAAUCAAAUUAUUUAUUUUUUAAUAUAUUUUAAAAAAAUAUAUAUUACUUUAGUUUUAAUUUGUAUAAAAAUAUAUUAAUCAUUUAAAACUAAUUAAUAAUUUUUUAGUAUAUAAUUUGUAUUAUAUAACCUUCCCUCUAACCGUGAAUUAAAAGAAAUAUGAUUAAUUAAAAGAUAUUGAAUAGUAUAAUAUUUGGUGUAAAUAAGUGAAAAUAAAAGAAAACUUUAUCUUAUUUUAUUUUUCUUCAACCAAAUAAUUUAAUAAUUUAUUUUUUACUUUUUAUUUUCUUUGAUGCAUUUCUAAAACUAAUUCACAUGCGAUCGUAAUAUAACUUAAAGUUUAUAAUCUGCUGAUUGUUUACAAGUCAGUUAAAAUAAAUCAUGAGUUAUUAGCCAUCGUUUAAGUUAAAAGUGCACUGAUUUAUAUAUUUUAGACGUAGAAAUCAAAAGAGACAAAACAUAAUUUAUAUACUUAACGACCCAAUACGAUCCAAAAAAAGUGGUAAGAAAAAAAGUUUAAGUUAUGUUUAUAUUGUUGCAAUAUCAAAAAAUGAAGUAUUUGUUAUAAAUCCAUAAAAAACGUAAUAUAUGUAAAAUGUUCUUAUACAUACACCAAAUAUAUCUCAUUCCUAGUAAUAAAUUACUAUUGCAAUAACUCUUAAAUAAGAUAUGAGUGAAAAGAAAACAAUAAAUUAAAAUAAAUAAUGUGACAAUUUAUACCAGUAUAUAUUAUUCUUAACCAAUUCAAUAAUUAACACCAAAUGCUAAUUUAACAAAAUUAACGGGUGAAUUAAAAACUCUUACUAUUUAAAUCAUUAUAGUAAAAAAAACUGUAAUUAAAAAUAUUUUAUAUUCCAUUGUCUUGCAUAAAAUUUAGUGCUAUAUACACCUUUAAAAAUGACAAAUCCAGAAUAAUUUAGUUAUAUUAUUAUUGUUAUAAAAAUCUUACAAUAUUAGUGGGAGCAAUCGGAACGAAAACAUGUGAAAUAAUAAAUAAACCUAUAAAAAUCACAUCAUAGAAUGCAAAACUAUAUCAUAUGGGAAUUUCUUGUACAAAAUUUACAGAAUGAAUAAUUUUUAGCACCACGUGUGCAUAUAUAACAGAUCAUAUGCUAGCACAAAACAAACUAUACGGCUAAUUAUCUACAAAUUCAUAGCCACGGUUUCUUUUGCCUUUAUGUAGUUGUAUCAAAGGAUUUCUUUUAAGUAAAUAACCCUUCAGAAAAAUAGUUUCAUAAAAAAAAAGUCAUUAAUAAUAGCAUAAUGGUACUUUUUAUUUAUAAAAGUAUUUUAAGCACACUACAAUUCAAACUUUAUAAAUCAUAAAUUUGGAGGAGUUGUUUCUACAUUACAUACUACUAUUUAAGAUAAGCUUUCUUUAGUUUUUCAUAAAUAUCUUAAAAGACAUAUCAAUAACGAUUUCUAAUUGAGUGAUAAUAUAGAUAACUUUAUUUAACACAAUAUAAUUAAACUCUUGCUACAUCUACCUAUUCGAUGAAAGGUGAAGGCUGUAGAAGUGGAAACACAAUUUCAAGAUAAUCCAAGUAGCUAUCACAUUCCCAGUCUUCUGAAUUAGAGCCUUGGCCCCAUAACCCUGAAGCUAAUAACAGUUCUCACAAACACGACCAACAUAGCAAGAUAAUAUUAAAAAUAAAAACCUUUAUUUGAGCAAAAAAAAUAAAAAACGCUAAUCAGGUUCAAACUAAAAUUAUCAAUAUUUAUACAACACAGUAAAUUGACUAGGCCCAUCCCAAAAAUCUCCAUGUUAGAUUUGCUCAAAAUGCAAUUGUAAUUUGAUCUCAGCCAGUUAAAAUACUAUGUGCACCUAGGGAGCUCAAUUAAUUAGGAUUGUAGCCAGGAGGGAGAGACUAAAUAUGCAGGUGAACAUCAACUCUGAACAUUCUCACCUCAGAACAGUAGUAUGGGAUAAAGAAAAGUAGGACAUUAUGACCAGCAUAAAACCUGGGUGAACUAAUUCAUCACCUCUUGCCACGAGGUCCAGGUCCGGAUCUGGGACCGGGAAACCGAGAAAACUGAAGCCGCAAGUGGCUAGACUCAGGAUUGAGUUCAUCAACUUUAUAACCUGUGUCAUCACACCACAAUGUCAGCAAACACUGAAAUUUGGGUACAUAAUUAUUUGAAAAAAAUCAUUGACUACUGAGUUCAAAUCCUACAAUACUGACUCACUGAGAUCACAAGGAACAACGCCACUAGCUUGAAGACAUAACUUAAUCUCAGAUCAAGUUUCUACUAUAAUUUUUAUUUACCAUUAGAUUCUCCUUUCCAAUAAUGACCAACUUCCAUAAAUUGUGUGGAGGAAUUUUUUAAUAGUUCAACUUGUCACCAUUUUAAUUGGAGAACUUAAUGACAAUGAUGUAAGAAACGUUAUUAAAAUUUUGUACACAAGUAUGCUGACCACUUGAACAGCAGCUGACUAUGUGGCAGAACAUUGGGACUUUACGUAUCAUAAAAAAAAAAAAAAUAUCUUCAUGUUAAAAUUAGACACACGAGAUGGGUGAUUGCAUUUUCCAAAGUGAUGAUAACAACAUGAAAACAAAUAUUAAUAGUAUCUCCGUAUGUGUUCAUUUUAUGUACUUUGGGAAUGAAAGAGGAUAACAAAUGGGAACAAGGAAGUUGGAAAUCAUUUAUAACGUGUUCACCACUUCAGUUCUAUGAAGUAACCAGUUUGAAUAAACCACUAAGUCACAGAUAACUUUCAUAAAGAUAUUCAAUUUAACAGUGUUUACCAAUUUCCCAUUUUAAAUGCUCAGUUAAAUACAAUAUACAGUAAUAUCAUAAUUAGAUAAGCACAUCAUACUCUAACACUUGUUCAUAUGGAAUUUUAUUGAUAAAUUUAGUGCAACUUUAAAAUGUUUUACCCCGUUACAAUUCAAAAUUUUAUAACAAAACAUUAAGUUUAUUUGGUUACAUUUUCAAAUGUGACUUAUUGCACUCUUUACGCUAUUUUCAGAAGCUCACGGUUACAACUUCAAAUUCUAAAUGUCAUUCCUCCCUUUUCAACGAGUUCCCAAACACUGACAGAAUUCAGGAACAUAAUAGCCACAUAUUGGUUCAGAAGGCCAAAAUACAAGGUAAUUCUACAAUUUUCACAACCUCCAUCAAGUCCCCUUUUAUGAGGAGAUGAUUUCCUAUACGAUGACUCGACAAUCAAACAUGAAAUUAAUUUCAUUUUAUCUCAGCAGGUAACAAGAAGUGAUACCUUGCAGUGCACUCAGAGCAGUUGCUGCACAAGCCGGAUUUGCAAAAUCCACAAAACAAAGGAUUAGAGGAUCUCCUCCACGCUGCAAGAAGCAUGCAUUUCAGCAUAAAGGAUAUGAUAUUUCAUUCAAUCAGCAGAACAACGAGAUACAAAAUAAUAGAUGGCAAACAGACAACUUACGUGUUUCGAUUCUUUGCUCACAAGUCUUACUUCUCUAUAUCCAACAAAAGGGCGAAAAAUAUCUUAAAAUGGCGUUAAGGAAUUUGAAAAGCUAUAAUAGAAAAAGGAAGCUUACAAGACAGUUGACAGUAUGAUAAUACAAUUACUAAACAUUAUGGGAGGGAAAAAGGAUACGAGCCACUUCCCUUCUCGUGCUAUCAGAUGGGAGACCUUCAACAUAUAAAGUACUGGAUGCAUCUGGCGGUAGAGGUACAGUCUCUGGUCCAGGCAUGGAAGCUGUGUCUACUGGUAACUGACCACCAUAAUUGACAUUCCGUCCAUUUCGUGCAAGAUCAUGACCACCACCAGGAUGCCCCAUAACACCAGGAUCAGUUAGCGAAUGGCCUGGCAAUCCACCAACACCCCUUGCCAAUCCAACACCACCAAUUGCACUGGCUUCCCCAGAAUUAAACGAAGUAAGCUGCUUUUAUCAACCAAAAAGAAGUUUUAAUCAAACAAGCUGUGAAAGCACAUCAUCACAUAUUAUGUAAAAAGAACAGGCUAAUAUACCCCUGCACUUUGAAGGUAGCGGUCAUAUGCAGAUCCAAGUGUUUUAGUGUCCUUUAGCAUUCGGUGACCAGUAUGGUCAUCAUUUCGAGCAAUAUAAUUAUGCAUCUCAUUGCCUCCCGAAGUCAGACCAGAAGGUGACAUAUCUGCAAUGUAAAAGAAUCUAGCCUUUAUAACUCUAGUAAAACAAACAGAAGCUGAAUACACUGAAUUAGAGAAGUUUUGAUCAUAUGCAAUGUUGUAUACCAUAGCCAUCCCUCCAAUGCUAACCACUAACAGUACAAAAAACAUCUAGUAGCAAAUAUGCCAGAUGCUGGCAAAACACAGGUAACUAAACAGCACAUGACCCAUAUUUAGUGCUCAUAAUAAUACAAAGAGUAGAGUGCACACACAAACAUGUUUUUUUGUCACCUAUCGAACUAGCAGUAAUCAGAUCCUUACACACCAAGUAGCAUAAAAAGUCAACCAUAGUUACUUGACUAGUUGUAUUAGCUUAACCACUCAAACUAUAGUUCCAGGAGACUGCUAACACACUAAUACUUUCACAACUCUAAGCAGUUAACUGGCAUGUACUAUCCACCAUGUUUGGUCUUCUUCCUUGUAAGAGAAGUCAAUUCAUUUAGUUAAUAUUCUCUUUCAUUGUCUCUCCAUCUCUAUAGCGCUCACUACUAACUUUUGUCACGGGAUUGAGAGCUUUUCUUGGAUCUAUUUCCAUACCAUGGCUUUACCACUUAACCCAUUCCAGUCUUCAGAUCGAACAACAUCACUUGGUGGAUCAUCUACUCAACCCACUCUCCUGCUCAUGUCUCAUUCUCACACCCAAUUUCAACAUAACUUGAUGAAAGAAAUUUCCUACGUAGGCAACAGUAAGCACAGGCUAAGUAUUAUUAUGACCAUAAAAUUCCCAUACAAGUUAGGGAAGUUGUGCUUUCUGACAUGAAAGUUAGUUUUGUUUGAAGUAAGAUUGGAAGGAUCAAAUGCACUAUUCCAUGGCUACUUCACCAAAAGAAUAUCUUCUGACCAGAAAGUCAAUGGAUGCAAACAUUCCUAGCAGAUCUGAAAAUUUUCAGAAAUUACAUUUAUUUGCACUUGUGCUAAGGUGUGUCAAUUCAGAUCUCAAUUGAAACAAGAAAAUGAGCAAUUAAUUUCUGAGCAUCUGCCUUGAUUAAAUCCAUCAUCAAUUCCUUGAUCUAUCCAUCAAUGAUCCACUUUCAUCUUGUUACCUCAAUAAACACCAUAAUUGAUCCAUACGAGUAUUGACACAUAGCAUCUUGUUCGGGAAGCACAACUGGUAAGCAUCAGCAAUGCACUCUUUCAAAUGUAGCUCGAUUUUUCAAAGAGAGAGUGCUGCAGUUUCAAGCAUUCAUCACUCAGCACGACUGCCCUGGUCACCUUAUCUUCAAAAUGUUCCCCAGGAAGCUGUACUUCAUUAGGCUGUGUCAGAGAUCGUGAAGGUCAUGCAGAUUGGUGAUGCUCGAUUUCUUGUCAAUUAAGUUUGGUCAUGAUGCCACAAUUGCUAUCACUAAUUUGAUAAUAAAUUGUUCAAACAACUUGCUUAUUUACUUUCACCCAACCAACACAUACUACUCCGCACUGCAGUGCCAACCAUUGGGAUACACUCCAGCUUUGGCUCAAAACAAAAGUACAACUCACCUACUCCUGGUUUCCAUGGGGCACCACCUUUGGGAGCACUUUAAUUCCUGUUUACACUAAUUAACAAAUCCAACAGUACAAAGUCAUUCCAACCCAUUCAACUCCAAGCAUUUCCUAGCAAAGGUACACACUUCCACCUUUACUCAAACUGGAAAGGUUUUCCAUUCAAAUAUAGUUUCCAGAAUCAAGUCAAUCACCAUCUAACUACAGGAUCUGCAGAAUUUAUUCAAAAACUAGUCUUAUCAGGCAUGGCAAAGAUUUCGAUACACAAUGGAUAAGUAAGGGACAACUCUGCUUACUUUGACUUCCAUCCUUCCAUCUCACUUAUUUUGUCCAAUUCCGAAGGUGUUCUUGAUUCAAAUGGGCUCUAUCAAUUUCAUAACAUGUAAAUUACUUCCUCUUGUACUACAAGAGAACACACAUAUUAGACACAGACAAAACAGGAUUUUUCCCUUUUCCUCAAGUCUCAUUACAGUUUAUAUUUUUCAAUUAUGUUUUUCUGCUAUAAACUUAAUAUACAGAAUAAAAAAUGUAAAGGCUUCAAAAUGAAACAGCAAUCACUCUUUACUCAGAAUGCUCACUAAUGGGUCAACAUUAGAAAGACCCAAAAGUCAAAACCCAACAGUAGAAGUAAGGAUCCUUCAGAGAUGGAAGGUGCACCAGAGAAAGAGGCGUCUAACUGUCCUGCAUUAUGACAUGUUGUAUUGACUUCUUCAAAGAAGGAGAGUGAGACAUGUAUAUUUCACCAUGUCUAGCAUGUGAAAUAUAACAGGUAGGGGGCUGAGUUCCAUAGUGAUGCUCCUUAGGAAAUGUUACGAAUUUAUGAAAAUGGCAAAAGGAAAGAAUUACAAGUUCCAACAGAAGAGAUUUUGAUUGUUGAGAAAAGGAAAAUACAAGUCAGCACAACUGCAUGCACAAAUCAUUCUUACAUCAAUCCCUCGAGUUCUUGUAUAUGAAUCUCCUUACACAUGACACAUUGAUAAAUACGUUAGCAAAUGAAUCACCCCAACACUAACAAUAAAAGUCAUACUCUUGUAGAAUGAAUACUCAGAGUGAGUACAUAACACACUUUCUGUGUAUAGAUUGUCUUUUACUACAAACAAAAUAAUCAUCAAGAUAUAAUUCCUUCAAAGCUUCCUAUUUGCUAUAACAUAUACAGAAUAUUACAGCUCAAUGUUGUACAAAGGCUUCAUGUCAUGAUGACGAAAACAAUGACGAAACCAUAGCAAGAUGCAAUGUUGACGCAGAAUACUAAGAUGUUAUAUUUGAGUAAGAAACCAAACGUGAAAAUAGACAAACAUAAGAUCAUAAUUCAAAGAAAAGAAAACUAGAAAGCUCAAAAAAAGCUAGGAACAUUGAGAUUAGCCAAUAGAAUUUUCAAACACACCACAAACAGAAAUCUUGAAGAUGGAUUAGAAGUUCAAAAAUUGAGAAUGCAGUCCAAAGGGGAUGCUGAGCUUUGAAAAGGAAGGUCAUAUUGGUUUAAAAAGUCAAAGUAUGAGCAGAUUAUCAAGACAGUAGAAAUUAUGUUAAAAAAACACUAUGAUCUGGUCUAGAAAACACUCCUGCAUCCCAGAAGUUCACAAGUAAUUCCAGUAAUGGUCCUUUCCUCACAAUGUUGAAUGGAUUUUGGAAAUGGCCAGAGACACCUAGGAUCAUAUGAUCCUGAGUAUUACCAUAAGGCUACAAAACACACUGUACCAAAAGAAUUUUCAUAAAUAUAGGCAGGUUGCAAUAAUCAGCACAUAAAAUAGUAUAAGUAGUUUAAUUAAAUAAUAUAUUUUGGAUCAUUUUAUAGAUGAACUCCAUGAAUGCUGUCACAAGUCACUGUUCCACCCACUUGAAAAUCCCAGCCCAAAAGUAUACAGAAGGAUACUCCCGUGACACAAAUUGGGUCCCGGAAAAAUUUAAUCUUCAAGAGCUUCAAAUCAUAAAAGCACUUCUUUUAAGGUAUUAUAUCUCAAAGCCCAACAACACAUCCAUAUUCUAUGUUUGUCUAUGCACAUCCAAACUCAAUAACAUCACCACUUCGCUUUGUCAUCUCAAAAACGGAAAUAUAAAGAUUUAAAAACAAUAGAGACAAUCAAACAAUUGACCAAAUCCUAAACCAAUGAAACUAAAAAGGGGUGACUCCAAACCCUAACUUUGAAUUUUUAAAUAGAAAAGUGAAGGAGAGAUAGGAGAUAACCAUAUUCAGUACGAGGUCGUUUGAGCAUUGCGGUAGAGGGCAGAAGCGGCUGUUGCUGCUGCCGAUUCCAGGAGCCAUCAGUCAUGACGAGAGAAACGAUGGAUUUCGCAGAUCUGAUGAACAAUGGUUAUGAUUAUGACUACCGGGUGAAGAUUGAUGGAGAUCCAAUUACAAACCCUAAUUUGCUCAAUACCAAACCCUAGCCUUUGUCCUUCUACAAAAGAGACAAUUUUUUUAAGAGAACUCAGUUUUUUUUUUAAGGAGAUGGUGUGUGGGGUUACAAUUUAGUUUUUUCCAAAUUUCCAUUACCAUAUGCAAAUUUAAAAUGCAUACCACAUAAGAUAAGAUUAGAUGAAUUUAAUUUAAUAUAUAAUUUUAAUUCUAAUAUCUUUAGCUUGCACAAUAAAUUAAUCUUUUUAAGAGAAAUUGUAUUCUUCUCCCAUAAUUUAAUUUUUGUAAUUUUAUUUACUAUAAUAGAAAUGAGUAUCCUUCUAUUAAAAAUAUGAUAAAAAUAUGAAAUUAAUUUAUUAGAGUAGAAGACGAGGGAAUAUUUUCCCCAUAUUGGAUAAUGUUUCAAUGGUCAUUUUUCAUAAAGGAAAAUCUAUUUUUUUUUUCCACUGUAACAUCUUUUAUUUUAAUAUUAGUUAGAAAAAAAAAUAUUUUAUAAUUAUUAUCAUAAAAUAGAAACGGGAAAUAUAAUUUUUAUAAUUUUAGUUGUGACUUAAAAUAUGUUCCAAAAAUAACAUUGUAUAACCAUGAAAAUUGUUUAUAAUAACUCUAUAGUAUAAUUUAUACGGUUAAAAUAUUUGACUACUUUGAAUUGUAAUAUAAUCUUGUUAUUUUAAUUAUUUAUUAUUAUAAAAUUUAGAUGUAUAUAAAGAAAAAAUUUAGGGUUAAAUAUGUUUUUAAUUUCUAUGCUAUCAAGCGUUCUUGGUUUUUAGUCUCUAUUUGAAAGUAAGGUACAUUUUAGUCUUCCUCCUUAAGGAAAUUUUGAUUUUAGUCCUUCAAAACUAACAAUGUUAAAAACCAGCUGACGUAACUAAGAGCAGACUGACCCGAUUUUUUUUCUUGUAUUGUGUCAAUGUUUCUAACCUUUUCUUCCUCGUCUCUUCCUUCCGUCUUCCACUCAACCUCGUCUCUUUUUUCCUUCUAUCUUCUCACUUUUUCUUACGCUGAAAAUGGUGUAAUCUCAUAGGGUAGUUCUACUGUUAAUGUCAAUUUUGUAAAUGCAACAUGAGAGAAGGCAGAAGAGCUAGCUUCAGACGUUAAGAGUAUUACCCAGUUGUAAAAUGAAUAUGUUGUUCCCUUUGGGCUCUGGGAGGUACUUCCAUUCUCUUUUUGGUUAUUUAUUGACGUCGUUUUGUUUUGUUUUGGUUUAGAUUGUUGCAGUUUUAAAUUUAUUUUGUUGUUCUUGUUCUCAUUAUUUUUAGUUUUGAACUAGAUCAAUAUCUUUAAAAGCUUGAUAUGAAAACUACUAGAUAUAAUUACAAGUCUUUUGAGCUUUAGUAUCUAGAUAUCGAUGGCAACCGAGAUUCCAAUGGUGUAGGAAAGGAUUCAUUGUUAGGUCCUCCUUGCCCAAGGAAGAAACGGUCUAUUUUUGUUCAUCUCCUUCCUUUUCUUCUGAUUAUUUUUUUAGCAUAAUCAAACUGUGAAAAUAUACUUAUGAUUUCUUUUCUUUCAAAUGAUACAAAGUUAUAUAAAGGGAAGUUCUGACUUUUUUUUUUCUUUUCUACUGCAUAUUCUUUCUAUAUUUUCAAACCAAAAGGGCGUUUCUGAUUUUGUUGUAUCUUUUUUUUUUCUUAUGAGAAGAUUUAGUUGCAUUUGUCACUGUACCACUGGGCGAUUUAGUCAGUGUUGUUUUGUAGUAUUUUUGCUAAAAAGAAACGAGGUUGGUGGAAGAUGGAAAGAUGGAAGGAAAAGACGAGGGAGGAAAGGUGAGAAACACUGGAAAAAAAUCGUGUCAGUCUACUGUUAAUCACGUCAGCUGGUUUUUAACGGCAUUAGUUUUUGAGAACUAAAAUCAAAGUUUCCUUAAAGAGAAAGACUAAAAUGUACUUUAUUUUGAAAAAGCGACUAAAAAAAAACGCUUGAUAAUAUAGAGACUAAAAACAUAUUUAAAAAAAAUUAUUUUGUACCGUGCAUCCUAUAAUAUUAAUGUUAUACUAUAUAUAACCAGAUUUUUAAAUAGAAUGUAUAGUACUCAAAUUCAAAUAUAUUUUAAAAUAUUGAAUUGUUUUCUUUUCUCAAGUUGUAGUAGAAUAAUGUAUUUUAUAUUGAAGAAAAAUCUUCUUAUAAAAUAAUAAAAUGGUAUAAUUAUAAUAUUAUAAAUAUAUUUUUUUAUUUUCUAUACUAUAUGUAUUAAUUAAUCACUUAUUAAUUAAGCUUAAAUUAUAUUUUAGAAUGUUAUAUAUAUAUAUAUAUAUAUAUAUAUAUAUAUAUAUAUAUAUUUGUUAUUUAAGAUUUAAAAAAUUAGAGCAUCCAGCAACUAAGUACAAUGGUCUACACCCACCCAUUUAUUCUCUCCGAGGUAGACAAUUAAUAAUUUAAGUUGACUUAAACAAUGGAUGAAAUAUUUCAAAUCUUUAAGUUCAAGCAUCUACAUUAACUAUCAUUUUGGAAAAGUUUAAGGUCUUCAAAUGAGAAAAAAAAAACAUGUUCUUUUUACAUAGAUUUUAACUUAUUGUCAAGACAAUACAAAACGAAUUCCAGAAUGUAUAAAGUUUAGGUGCUUAACUUAAGUUGAUUAAAGUAUCAGAUAAAAAAAAUUACAAAACAAUUGACUUGCUGCAUAAAUGACAACCUUAAAUAAUUAAUGUCAACAAAUUUAACUAAUGUUAAUUCAGACACCAUUUAAACAAUCUCUCCCUUUUUACAUUAUCUUUAUGUGAACUCAAAUACUUAUCAUUACUUAUAAUCUUAAUAUUUGAUUGGUUGAACUUUUAUUAGAUGAAUAAAGAGUUCUAGUGUAGAAUUGUCUUUUAACGUCAUCCCUUAGACGUAAGUUAAGCGGUGACCCGUCAUAAACUAAUGACCGGUGACACUUUCGUAAAUAAGCUGUUAAUAUAGACGUCAGUUAAGAGGGGUCCUGACGACUAUAAUAUUAUAGACGUCGGGGCCCUCAUAACCGAUGUCUAUAGGUCCUCAUAUACGUCGGCUCCCCCGAAUAGAUGCCAAAACUAAACGAAAAAGUUAAUAAAAAAUAAUUUUUUAUUCUAUUUAGACGUCUGUUAUGGGGGGAACGACUUCUAAAGCACUUUAGAUGUCACUUAUUUAGGGAACCGACGUCUAAACCCUAAACCCAAAAAUUUAAAAACUCAUUUUUUGGCUCCAUAUAGAUGUCUGAUCUCGCCACUCCGACUUCUAAAGCAUUUUCGACGUCUGUUAUUGGGAGAACCAAUGUCUAAACCUUAAACCCAAAAAUUUAAAAUCUCAUUUUUUGGCUCCAUAUAGACAUCUGAUCCCGCCACUCCGACUUCUGAAGCAUUUUAGACGUCAGUUAUUGGGGAACCGACGCCCAAACCCUAAACUCAAAAAUUUAAAAAGUCACUUUUUGGCUCCAUAUAGACGUUUGAUCCCGCCACUCCGACUUCUAAAGCACUUUAGACGUCUGUUAUUGGGGGAGCCGACGUCUAAACCCUAAACCCAUAAAUUUAAAAAGUAACUUUUUUACUCCAUUUAGACGUCUAUUAUGGGGGGAACCGACUUCUAAAUCACUUUAGACGUCUGUUACAGGGGAAUCGACUUCUAAAUGUCGGCAUUAAAAUACCGUGAUCGCGAGACAGCCGUUACGCGCACUCAUUGUUCAUCAUCUUCGUCGCGUUUUCUCUCUACAAGUUACACUUUUCAGGUUCGUUUUCUCACUUUUGCGCCGUUUUAAAUUAGUUUUACUCCGAUUACAUCAUUAUUUGAUGCAUUAUCUUUCAUUUGAACCGAUUAAAAUGCAUUUUCGUUGGGUUUUGGUGCACUUAUUCUCGUGUCCUUGGGCGACGUUCUUUGGCAGCGAUUUCUUGCGUUUUGCACUCUCCAAUUCCCUCCACUACAUUUUUAAAACCAUAUAAUAAAAAAAAUAUACAAUACAUUCUCUUCAACUAAAAUAUAAAGUUGUAAACUUAAAUCACCAUCAGACCUAUAUGGAUCAAACGUCUAUAUAGGCGUCUGACCUAUAUAGGUUCGACGUCUAUAUAAACGUCAGACCUAAAGGGUCGGACGUCUCAUUAACGUCACCCAUAUAGACGUCGGACAGAGAUAAAUUGUUAAAAACCCAAAAUAACAGACGUCUAAAGUCCUUUCUGCAUGUUGUAAAAUAAGUAUUCUAUCACGUGUUAAGAGAGAGUUAAUAUUGACAUUUAUUUAAAUGUAAAACAUAUAAAUUGUAUUCAAUUGAAAGUUUGUAUUGUGGUUUAAGUGAAAGUUGUAACGAGUUAUGUUAUUGAUAGAUUAAUAUGAAACAUGUAAAAUAUACAUAUACUUAAUAAUGUUAAGUUGUAAGUAAUAUGAAACUAUGUACCUUGUGUUUUCAGAUUUUGUUGUGGUAUCACACAAACAUAAAUAGAGUUUGAAAAUGUGAUGAUAAGUACUUUUAAGCAUGACAUUUAUAAAGUAAUAAAAUAAGAUAUUUUCCUUUUUCUAAUGAAUUACUCACAAAUGAAAUUGUAUGUUGUGAGAAACUAGAAAAAGAUUAUUGUGUAACACUCCGGCAACUUACAGGGACUGUUGACUGCCCUUACACAUCACCAUGAGACUUUCCAAUGUGCUUUGCCCUCACUCGCACACUUUCUGGGAAAACUUCCCGAAAGGUCACCCAUCCCAGAAUUUCUCCAGGCUAAACACGCUUAACCAUGAAGUUCUUAUGGGUUAGACUUCCGAAAAGUAAAUACAUUUUGGUGAUAUGGGUAGCCAAAUCAAUUCCUUUAAGCUAUCCUUCAACUGUAUAGUCUCAUACCUAUACUUAACCAUGAAAUUCUUAUGGGUUAGGCUUCCAAAAAGUAAAUGCAUUUCGGUGAUAUGGGUAGCCAAAUCAAUUCCUUUAAGUCAUCCUUCAAUUGUAUAGUCCCAUACCUAUACAGUCUCCAAAUCCCUCUCAUUCCAGUGUAUGUUCGAUUCGUCCAUGUGUCCCUUCCACUAGAAGCCUGCCAGGAACUGCUCUUUGUCUGUGUCCCCUGCACCAUGCCUCUUGCACCGGCGAUCACUCUCUGCCCUUGUCAGUGUCCGAGUGUUACAUAUUGCAUCAUCAUUUUCUAUAACAUCUAAGCAAUUAUUGGUAUACUAUUGGUUUUUACCAUACAUGUUUUUUUUAUAGAUCAUGCCUUAGUUUAUAUUGAAACAUAUUUAUUGUAGUAAUACAUUUAUAUUAUAAUGAUUAAAACAUGUUAAUUAAAUGAUUUGUAGGUGAAUAGUGAAUGCUAAACAAAAAGUGACCGCUAUGAGUAUUUCGAAAAUAAUUAAAACUUUUGAUGCAAAAAGUUAAGGUUGGUGAUCACAUUUCUAUAUUUAAAUUGAUAUUUCCAAUUUUAUUAUGUACAAGAAAAAAGACAUGAGAAAGUGAAAAGAGACGUUAUGUAAAACAAUAUAUAUAUAUAUAUAUAUAUAUAUAUAUAUAUAUAUAUUUCUUUUACAAUUUCAUCAAUAUAUUAUAUUUCAUUCUCAGAAAGAUUUGAAUUACUCUUACAUUAAUUAGUCGGGAUAAAUGAGUUUUAUUAUUAUUAAAAUAAUAAGAUAAAACUUUUUCAUCAUGAACUCUUUUCACCCCAAGAUUAAACCUUUAACUAUAACGUCAUCAAAUUUUCAAAAUUUAUUAGAAAAAAUUUAUAUCUUACAAUAAUAAGAAUAAUAACAAAUUAAUAUUAUUUGAUGAAAGUAUAAAAGUUAAGAAAAAUUACGAGAAAAAGAAAAUAUUUAUUUAUCAAUAAAAUAAAAUGAAUGAAUAUUAAGAUUAAGAAAUAAUCUAUAAGCAAGCAACUAUUGGUAUACAAUUCUUUCUAUUAAUUAAACUGAAGAAAUUGAUAAUGCAUUUAAUUAAAUAAUUUUUUAAAUUGUUGUGAUUGUAGGUGGUAUGUUUGUUUAAUUGUUGAUGAUAUAUUUAUGUAUAUCCAAUAGUUGAACGAAAGAGAAUAGAAAUACUAAUUUAUAUUGUUAUUAUUUUUUAAUGAAAGUAUACAUGCUAUGUUAAUAGAUUUUUUUAAAAUAUUCGUAAUUUUGUAAACGGUUUGGUGAGUGUUGUUGCAUUAAUAUAUUGUUUGUACCUACAGCUAGGUGUUACACCAUCGACAUUAAUCAAUUUUUGUUACUAGGAAGCAAUCACAAAUACUCAUUAUCCUUUAUUGUUUCAUCUUAUACUUCCAAGACUUCAUCGUGCACCUCCGACUUUUUCAAAAGAUUUACUUUUAACUGUAAUAAAUAUCUUUUUUACUUUUCACUUUCUAUUUAAAGUAAUCUUAUAUCUUUAUCUUUGCAUGUUUUUAACAAAAUUUUAAUAUUUUUAUCUUUUAUUUAUAACUUUAUAACUAUUUAAUUUAAUUUAAAAACCAAAUAUUAUUUAAUAUAUUUUUGUAUUUUAAUAAUUAAUAAAAUAUAAUUUUUUUUCGUUUAAAAUAAAUUAUUAUUAAAUUUUAAAUAGAAAAUAAAAUUUGAGAAAAAGUUAUCGGAUAUACAAAAGUUUUUAAUAAAUUUGUUUAUUAUUUAUAAUUUAUUAAUUAUUUAAUUUAAUUUAAAAAUUUAAUAAUAUUUAAUAUAUUUUACAUUUAAAUAACAAUUAAAAUAUAAUUUAUAUUAUUGUAGUUGUAAUAUUAAAAAUAUUAAAAAACUAAUAAUAAUUAAAAAACAUAAAAUUUUUCGAAUCCUAUUUUAUUAAUUUAAUAUUUUAAUAUAAUUUAGUAUUUUUAUAUAUAUUAAAUAAAUUUUUAUAUAAUUGUUUUUAUUUUUAUUAAUUUUAUUUUAAUUAUUUUAAUUUUAAUUUUAAAAAUAUAAGUGUUAUAUAAAAAAUUAAAUUAUUUGGAAUUUUAAAUAAAAAAUAAAUUUUUUUAAAAAAAGGUCAUCGGAUAUUGAUAUCCGAUAACACAUUUAUCAGAUUUCCAAUUCCGACAGGAAUGUUUUCAAAUAUUUUUUAAUUUAUAUUUUAUUAAUUAUUUAAUUUAAUUUAAAAAUUUAAUUUAAUUUAAUAUAUUUUAUAUUUAAAUAAUUAUUAAAAUAUAAUUUAUAUUAUUAUGAUACUAAUAUUAAAAAAUUUAAAAUAAAAAUAAUAAUAAUUAAGAAAUAUAAAAAUUUUGAUAUCCUAUUUUAUUAACUUAAUAUUUUAAUAUUAUUUAACUAUAUUUAUAUAUUAAACUAGUUUUUAUAUAAUUAUUUUUAUUUUAACUUUUGUAAUGUACCUAUUAUAUAAAAAUUAAAUCAUUAUUGAAUUUCAAAUAAAAAAUAAAAUUAAAAAAAAAAGUUAUCGGAUAUUGAUAUCCGAUAACAUAUUGAUAUCCGAUAACAUGCUCAUCGGAUUUUUAAUUCCGAUAACAUAGUUAUCGGAUUUUCAAUUCCGAUAAUAAUGUUUAAAAAAAUUUGUUUCUUAUUUUUACUUUAUUAAUUAUUUAAUUUAUUUUAAAGACUUAAUAUUAUUAAUUUAUUUUAUUUUAAAUAACUAUUAAAAUAUAAUUUAUAUAAUUUUAGUACUAUUAUUAAAAAAUUAAAAUAAUAAUAAUUGGAAAAUCUAAAAAUUUCGAAAUUUGAUUUCUUGAUAUAAUAUAAUUUAAUAUACUUUAUUAUAUUAAAUCAGACUUUUUGUAAUUAUUUUUAUUUUUAUUACUUUUAUUUUAAUUAUUUUANUUUUAAUUUUAGUAAUAUAAUUAUUAUAAUAAUAUAAAUUAUAUUUUAAUAAUUAUUAAAAUAUGAAAAAAUAUUAAAUAAUAUUAGAUUUUUAAAUUAAAUUAAAGAGUUAUUAAAAUAUAAAUAAAAGACAGUUUUGAAAAAAAUUAAAAAAGGAUACAGAGUUAAAAAAUGUAGGAUUAUUCUGAAUAGAAAAAAAAAAGUAAAAAGUAUAUUUACAAAAGUUAAAAAAUAAAGUUUUGAAAAAGUUAUAAAUAUAAGAUUAGGUAUUGGAGGUGCAGGAUGAAACCCCUUACUUUAAAUAGAAAGUGAAAAAUAAAAAGAUAUUUACUAAAAUUAAAAGUAAAUUUUUAAAAAAGUUGGAGGUGCAGGAUGAAACCUUUGGAGGUGUAAGAUGAAACACCCUUAUCCUUUUGGCAUUGAGCUGAAAAGGUUUGGGUGUUGCUCCCUGCACCUCCCCAUUUGCUUCCUACACCUCCCCAUUCCCUUUAUACCCUUCAGUCUAUUUUUCUAUUCCUAUUUUAUCCUUUAGUAAAAGUUUAUAUUUAGGGUAAAAAUUUUAUGAUUUCAGUUCUUCACCCCCACACAACCUAUGCAUUCAUUCUUACUCUUUUUUACUCUUUCUUUUUAGAAAUUCUAUGAAAAUGUGGUGAGUGAGAAAUUGUUUUAAAAAGAUUGGUUGAAGAAUUUUCUUUGGAAUAACAAAGUUUAAUUUUGUGUAUGGUACAGUGAUGGUGCUCAGACCUUACAAGAUGAGGUACGUAACCUUGUAAACAAAUAUGGACAUUCAUCGCCGGAUGUCAACAUCCGUUUAAGACAAAAUGGAUGUUGAGAUCCGUUUGGCAUAAAUAUUUAUUUUUGUUUAUCUUUUAUUCAUCCACUUUGUGUCUACGUCUCCAUAUAUUAUAAUCAUAACACUGACAGAUUAACUCAUUACUCCAUUGCAUAUGCGCAAUCAUCAGAGGGAAAAAAGAUGAAACUCUCUGCAAAGGUAAUUUCAUUUCGUAUUCNCAGUGGAGUAUUGAUUAUACANGCUAUGAUGCUUUUCUAUACCUCAUUUCAGUCAAGACUGCUGCAUGUAUAUAUUAUAAAUACAAAUUCCUUUCGGUGGAAAUGUUUUUAAGAAUAAAUAAUAUACAUUUAUAUAUUAUCAUCUAUUAAAAAUNAUUAUUCCUAUAAUUUUUUUCCUUUGUAUGAUAAUUAUCUGGAAAAGUAUAUCAAAAAUGUUUUUUACUUACUGCCAUGAAAUUUUUUAUACGACAAAUACAUAUUAGAUUCUAAGGUAAUAUUAUUGCCUCAUCCAAUAAUUUUUUACAUAAACUUUGUAUAUCCACUGUAUAUUUUACCUUUCUAUCUCUCUUUCUUUACAGAUACAAAAUUAACUUUUCUAAUGAUUAAAAUAACAGUGGUAGAAAAAAAAUAAAGAAAAUAGAAGUAUUUGUAUUGAGAAUUGCAGUGUAGUUAAUGACUAAUAUUCCUACAAAGGAGUGUCAUUGAUAGAAAACCACAACAAAAAUAAAGAAAAUAGAAGUAUUUGUAUUGAGAAUUGGAAAGUCCUCUGUCCAAUUUAUGGUCGAGAUGGACUUCAAACUGGGCUUCUUACAAGACGAAAAUAGAAAUUAGAAGACAGAAACUUAGUAUCCAAUUCUGAGAAGAACCAGCUCCUUACUUUGAGAACCAGGACCCACUAUGAUGGCUUACAACUUGUCUGUAAGUUAUUAAACAUUGAAACAAAAUAACCCAUCAACAAAAUAAACAGCAUCAUACAAGAAUUAAACAGAUUUGAAGGCUGCAAUCUAACAUCCAUUAACCAAAAGAAUGGUAUCAAUAAAUAAAGCAUAGCAAGUAUUAACGCAUAACACAAUAAAUGUAGUAUUAUAUAAUAUUUUAGAAAUAAUACAUCAAAUUACCACUUACCAAACUCUUUAGUCUCUCUCGCUGAAAUAGCUCUCUAUCAAUUAGACGUCGACGGAUGUCGACAUCUGUUUCAAGGCCAAACGGAUGUCGACAUUCGUUCUGACCUGAGCAGUUCACACAGCAGCGACAAGAAGCACACACAACAGCGAUAACAUGCACAGUAAAAUCAGUAAAAUCAAAGGUGAUGGAUACUAAAGGAGAAAAAAAACGAACACACCUGGAUGGAAGUAAAAAGAACCACCACAGCAACAGACGCACCACCACGAACAAUAAGAACCCACCGCACGCACCGCACCACCGCACCCCGCACCACCUCACCUCACCACCACUCAGAGCAAAGGUGAAGUGUGAAGGAUGAAGGAGAAUGAUGAAAGUCAGAGGAAGAGAGGCAGAUGUAUUGGGGGGGGUGGCUGCGAGAGAGAAAAAAUGAAUAUUUAGGGUUUGGUAAAUAAAGUUAAAAAUAAAAAUGUCAAAAGGUUAAAAAGGUAAAAUAAAAGGAUAUUUUUGUAAUUAAAUAAAAAUUAUAAAAAAUUGGGGAGGUGGAGGAAGAAAAUGGGGAGGUGGAGGGAGUAACUCCCGAAAGGUUUUCAUGGAAUGGGCCGGAUGUACAUACCUCAAAAAGCCCAACACUAUUUCUAUACAUAAGUUUUGGACGCUUCUUUCUACACUCCACAUUUUUCUUUCUGCAUCUCUAAGCUUUUUCUUUUUUUCCCAUUUUAUCCUCUUUAUAACAACAAAUCGUAUAACAUGAUAUGGAAGAACUAAUUAGAUAAAAAAAAUUCAGGAGAUGUAUUGUGAACUAGAACUAGAAAUACGGUUUUUUUUUUUAAAAGGAUAGUUGUCAGAUUUCAGAUACAUUUUAUCAGAUUUUCAAAUUUGAUAACCCUUACAAAAAUCAAAUUUUACAAUCCAAUAUUAAAAAAAAAUUACAUUUAACUAUAUUUUAAAAUUUGGUAAAAAAAUCAUGUAUAAAUAUAUUUUAAAAUUCAGUAAAAAAAAUUAAACAUAACUAAAUUUCAAAAUUUGGUAAAAAAAAAAAUACUUUUUAAAAUUUAGUAGAAAAAAAUUGACACUUGUUAUAAUAAAUAAAGUUCGAAUUUCACCAAGCCAUCCAAAAAAUUAGACUUAAACGAGUUAUUGGUAUAUACGACUAUUUAACAGCCAUCACUUAACUAAAGAUAAAAAUUAAAUUAAUAAUUACAACUAAUCAUCAUCUUCUGAGGAAUUUCACAAUUUUUAAAAAUAUUUAAAUAAAUUAAAUUUAUAUUUAUCUCAUCUAAAAUCAUUUCUUAAUAUUGAUAAUUUUUUUUAAUCAAACUUGAUUGAUGCUAUUUUUAAUUAAAAUUUAUUUAAAAAAUCUAAUAAAAAAAUUCAACUAAUUUUAAAAAACCUUAAUUCUCAUUUGAAUAAUAUUCCAGACAUUAUUUAAGAAAACUUUAAUUCAUAUACAGCAAAAAUGAUAGUAUUUUAUAAUAAUAAUAAUAAAAAUAAUCUUAAUAAUAUAAAUAAUAUUUCUUUUAACAUCAAUAAUGAAAUUUUAAUCAAUAUUCAUAAAGAAAAAUGAUCUACCGAUUUUAUAUAAAAAUCUUAACUAACAUGAGAAGUAAUUUCAAUAUAAAAUAAAUAAAUAAACGUAAUUGAUAUUAAAAAGUUAUAACAUUUUAAAUUAACCUAAAACAACAGUUAUCAUAAAUUAUAAAACAAGUUUGUUUGAAUUUAGUUGAAAAAUACAUUUAAAUAGAGAUGUCACUGUUCACCUUAUGUGCUAUGAUGCUCUCGAGACAAUUGUUCAUCUGUUUUCAUUUUUUUUUUUAUUUGAUAUCCAAAUUCGAUUAAGUGUGAGAUAAUUUUUGUUUAUAAGAUUUCAAAGUUUGAUUAAAUGCAAAUUUUUUUAUUUACCUAAUUUCGAAAUUUGAGAUUGUGUAUAUUUUUUUUUAUCGAAUUUUGAAACAGAGUUAUGUAUGAAUUAUUUUUUCUUAUCCAUUUUGAUAUCCGAUUUAAUGUAAAUCUAUGAUUUUUUUUUUUAUUUACUAGAUUUGAAAAUAUGAUAGUUUAGUUGUAGUUUGAGUUUUGAAAUCCAACAACUACACUUCUAAAAAAAUUAACUGAAUUUCUUGUUUCAAUUCUUAUCCCAUCUUCCAAAUUUUUUGAUCUGGUUAAUUAUCUCAUAUUAUAUUAUCCAAGAUUGCUAUUAUGAAAUGAAUAAAAUGAAAAAAAAAAGGAAAAAGUUUAGAAGUACAAGAAGAAAACCUAGGAUUGGAAGAAAUGCCCUAAGUUUGUCUUUACUAAUUGCCUGACUUCCUAAAGAAGUGUAAGGCUAGAAGAAGGGAUUUCUUUCUACACCUCACUUUCAUUCACUUAUCUAUCCCUUAUUACAAAAGUUUAUACUCCAUAUUUUCUUCCAAAUUUACAUUACGAAUCUUCUUAUCUUUUAGAUUUACAUUAUAAAUUAUAGAAUUCAAAAUGUAAAUUUGUAUUAUAAACUAUCAAAAUUAUAUUUUAUAUUUUAAUUGUCUUUUAAAUUUGUAUUAUGAAUUAUACAAUAUUUAAUGUUAAAUUAUAUUACAGUUUGUGAAAUGUAUUUUAUAUUACAAAUUGCUUUUCAAAUUUGCAUUAAUUCAAAAUAUAAAUUUGUAUUAUAGAUUGUAUAAUACAUAAUAUAAUUUAUAUUUUUCAAAUUUGUAUUACAUAUUAUACAAUCUAAAAUGUAAAUUUACAUUAUGAAAUUAAUUUGCAUGUCAGAAUAUCUUUCAGAUUUAUAUUAUGGAUUGUAUAAUCAAAAUAUAAUUUACUUCUAAAUUAUGUUUCAUAUUUGAAUUAUAAAUUGUACUAAUACAAAAAUAAUAUUUUAUGACGUACAAAAACGAUUUAUGAUAUACAUAAUUUUGUAUAUUAUAAUAGGUUAGUUUCUAUGACUCGAAUGACGUUUAACCGUUUCAGAAUAUUUUGAAAAUAAAAUCUCUUUUAAUCCAUUUCUUCUAUACUAUAAAUAUUUAAAGAAUGGUCAGCUUUAUUCAUUUUCUCCAUCACCGUCUUCAAAAAAAUGACAAAUUCUCGAUUGUUAUUGCUGGACUUUGGAUUCGCAGUUUCAAUUACAUAUGACAAAUUUAAAUUUAAAUUUCUGUCGGUUGCAACAGUUACCUUGCAAAAGUUUAAAUUUCUCCUACGGUCUUAUACCAACUAUAUUCUUAUGAUGUUUUAUCGUGAUAUUAUUUCAUAUUUAGUACUAUAGUGUAUGAUUCUGUAUGUUAAAUUUGGAGUAGUGUAAAGUGUAUAAAGGUGUAAAAAUUACUGUGUAUUGUGUUGGAAAAGUGAGGAAUAUGGAGUUAUGCCAUACGUAAAAUACCAAAAAAUUAUUACAAGAAACAAACAAGUGUGAUUUGAACAGAGAUGAGCAGAGAAAUAUAA